UUUAUAUUGUGUUUAUUUAUUUAUUUAUUUUGACCUUUUUUACUAUUAUAUAUUAUAUAUUCUGAGAAUGCAUGAGCGUCCAAUGAGCAUUGAGCAACCCUCAGCUGGAUCCAAUCACUUUGAGGACUGACACACCUCCUCAUGGGCGGCUCUCUAAGCUCAGCAGUGCCUGUCAUGCACCGUCGUUUUUUGGAUAUGCCAGCUGUACCUGGGCCACGAUCCGAACACUGGCAGGUUCUGCUGAAGAAGCCCUGAAGACAGACAUGAGCAGUCAGAAUUCUCCAAAGGCUGGGCGGACCUGUUGACAGCUACAUGGAAUAUGGGCAGAAUACAAGCAACAGAGGGUGUGCUGUGAGAGGCAUCUAUAUCAAAGCAAACACCCCCCUUUUUUGGAGGAGGAGCAGAAAAACCAAACACACACUCGCUAUUCUUCCACAAACCCCAAAAUACCUUCAUUUACCAAUCCAGUCAGGUCAUUCAUGGAAAUCCUUGUGAUAUCUUCUCAGCAAACACAACAACAACAAAUUAUUCUUAUAAUAAUAAUUAUUAAUAUUGUUAUGUGCAUCAUUGUAUUGUUUUUAUUAUAUAAAAGUCUACAUGAAACUUU
Long non-coding RNA from Carassius carassius (crucian carp), 607 nucleotides. RefSeq lists it as uncharacterized. The transcript is spliced from 2 exons. The record is from RefSeq and is a predicted model, not a curated record. Lineage: Eukaryota; Metazoa; Chordata; Actinopteri; Cypriniformes; Cyprinidae.